AGUGAACGCUGGCGGUAGGCCUAACACAUGCAAGUCGAACGGCAGCACAGUAAGAGCUUGCUCUUACGGGUGGCGAGUGGCGGACGGGUGAGGAAUAUAUCGGAAUCUACUUUUUCGUGGGGGAUAACGUAGGGAAACUUACGCUAAUACCGCAUACGACCUACGGGUGAAAGCAGGGGAUCUUCGGACCUUGCGCGAUUGAAUGAGCCGAUGUCGGAUUUGCUAGUUGGCGGGGUAAAGGCCCACCAAGGCGACGAUCCGUAGCUGGUCUGAGAGGAUGAUCAGCCACACUGGAACUGAGACACGGUCCAGACUCCUACGGGAGGCAGCAGUGGGGAAUAUUGGACAAUGGGCGCAAGCCUGAUCCAGCCAUACCGCGUGGGUGAAGAAGGCCUUCGGGUUGUAAAGCCCUUUUGUUGGGAAAGAAAAGCAGCAGGUUAAUACCCCGCUGUUCUGACGGUACCCAAAGAAUAAGCACCGGCUAACUUCGUG
This 492-nucleotide ribosomal RNA is filed under the name uncultured bacterium. RNAcentral's name for it is "partial 16S ribosomal RNA". It matches the Rfam family "Bacterial small subunit ribosomal RNA", at positions 29 to 507 of the family's 1533-position model. The record is from RNAcentral.